This 468-nucleotide ribosomal RNA is filed under the name uncultured bacterium. RNAcentral describes it as "partial 16S ribosomal RNA". It matches the Rfam family "Bacterial small subunit ribosomal RNA", at positions 28 to 507 of the family's 1533-position model. The record is from RNAcentral.
GACGAACGCUGGCGGCGUGCUUAACACAUGCAAGUCGAACGGAAAGGCCCUGCUUUUGUGGGGUGCUCGAGUGGUGAACGGGUGAGUAACACGUGAGUAACCUGCCCUUGACUUUGGGAUAACUUCAGGAAACUGGGGCUAAUACCGGAUAGGAGCUCCUGCUGCAUGGUGGGGGUUGGAAAGUUUCGGCGGUUGGGGAUGGACUCGCGGCUUAUCAGCUUGUUGGUGGGGUAGUGGCUUGCCAAGGCUUUGACGGGUAGCCGGCCUGAGAGGGUGACCGGCCACAUUGGGACUGAGAUACGGCCCAGACUCCUACGGGAGGCAGCAGUGGGGAAUAUUGCACAAUGGGCGGAAGCCUGAUGCAGCAACGCCGCGUGCGGGAUGACGGCCUUCGGGUUGUAAACCGCUUUCGCCUGUGACGAAGCGUGAGUGACGGUAAUGGGUAAAGAAGCACCGGCUAACUACGUG